RNAcentral lists this long non-coding RNA (379 nucleotides) under Mustela putorius furo (domestic ferret). Its description in RNAcentral is "lncRNA (ENSMPUG00000027803.1)". Lineage: Eukaryota; Metazoa; Chordata; Mammalia; Carnivora; Mustelidae. The record is from RNAcentral.
CGUCUUCCUCUGCGGCAUGAGGGUUGGGUGGGGGGUGGUUUGCCAUCAGUUCCUUUAUAAGAUUGGAGGUUUCUUAGCUGCGAUAUGGACUCUGUGUGGGUGCUGUUCACCCCAGAAGGCUCCACGUCACCCUCCCGGGGCUUGGGGACAGGUGAUCUGCUGCAAAUUUGGGGCUCAUGCUGCCGGCCGUGCUGGCUGGCUUCCCUCCAUCAAAUCUCAGCUUCAUGUCCUUCAAGGAAAGAGAGGCCUGUCUUGACCAGAUCUACCAUCACUCUGUCACAGCAUCUUCAGUCUUUUUCUUCAUUACACAUCAUCACAAUUGGUAAUGUAUUGAUACAUUUACACAUUUUCUUCCCACCAGAAUGUUUGAUCCACGAGG